Non-coding RNA from Cyprinus carpio (common carp), 1264 nucleotides. The record is from the annotation of a RefSeq genome assembly. Lineage: Eukaryota; Metazoa; Chordata; Actinopteri; Cypriniformes; Cyprinidae.
UGUGUGAGACAACAAGUGGUCUGCCUCUCCUUAUAAACAUCAAGCAUCUUUAAAAGUGCAGGAGAAACACACUGGUCUCUAAUCCCUGAUCACCUCCACCAGUAACCAUGAUGAUCCUGAGCACCACCGCUCUCGCUGGACUCCUCCUCACUCUCUCGGGGUUUGAGGCCAUAGUGCAUUUGACCCAGGAGAAGAUCAUGAACGUGAACACAGGACAAGAUGUAAAGAUUCUCUGCAGGAGAGAUGAUAGUGGUAGCUGGGGCAUUUCAUGGUACCAGCAGAAAGCUGGAGAUACUCCAAAGUUCUUACUAGUUGAUAGCUACAGAGCCAGUGGUCUGUCCAGCAGAUUCACAUACACAGACAAUGGUGUGGACGAGUACCUGAACAUCGCCCGAGUGGAAGCUGAGGACGAAGCGGUGUAUUACUGCGGAUGCAUCAUUUGUCAAAGCCAUGGCAGCAUCGGCGGAGGCACCGAGUUGAGGAUCGCUCGUCCGUCGUCUCCUCCGUCCCUGCUCCUGCUGGCUCCUGCUUCUCCGCUCUCUGAGGGUGAUGUCAGUGUGGUGUGUGUGGCUCAGGGCUUUUACCCUGACAGUGUCACCGUGUCCUGGUCUGAGGACAGCAGCGGCGUGACGGGGGACGAGGUGCAGACGGCUCCGUAUCAGCGUCAGGCCGACGGCACCUUCUCCCAGACCAGCGUCCUGAAGCUCGGUAAGCAGCGCUGGAGCUCCGGGAAAACCUACACGUGCCGCCUGAGCCACCCGGCGCUUUCCACACCGCUGAGCCAGAGCACCAGCCUGAACCAGUGCAUGUAGAGAGAUCACAGAGCUGGUGCACCUCUCAUGUGUUGCAUAAAGAGAGAAAUAUAUAUAACGCACCUCAGUGAACACAACUUGUCUUUAAUAAUGAGUGUGCUGUCCAUUUAAACAAGUUCUUCUGUUAUUGUGAAAUGAGUCUUGUGGAGCUCUACUUUGUUGCUUACUCUAGUAAAUAAAGCAUUUAAAAUUUUCAAAUGAAACUACAGAAUCUAUUCUAAAUGUUUUGCAGGGUUUGUUCCCUUUUUUUCAAAUUAUAAAUAAAAGUUUCGUUUUCAGUUUUCAGUUUUCUUUUCACAUGAGAUCUGAUUUGCAUAUGGUUGCUCAUCAGUGCAUGAAGAAAACAAGAAAGCCUUAUUUGGACAGAGAAUUAACAAUGCAAUAAGGACAUUUAAUCAAGAGUUUAUGAUAAAAUUAUGCUGUAAUGCAACAACUGUUUGUGCAGUAGAGUU